This 1589-nucleotide ribosomal RNA is filed under the name Salmonella enterica. RNAcentral describes it as "partial 23S ribosomal RNA". It matches the Rfam family "Bacterial large subunit ribosomal RNA", at positions 1231 to 2802 of the family's 2925-position model. Lineage: Bacteria; Pseudomonadati; Pseudomonadota; Gammaproteobacteria; Enterobacterales; Enterobacteriaceae. The record is from RNAcentral. RNAcentral also lists the same sequence under 1 other name.
GGGGAGCGUUCUGUAAGCCUGUGAAGGUGUGUCGUGAGGCAUGCUGGAGGUAUCAGAAGUGCGAAUGCUGACAUAAGUAACGAUAAAGCGGGUGAAAAGCCCGCUCGCCGGAAGACCAAGGGUUCCUGUCCAACGUUAAUCGGGGCAGGGUGAGUCGACCCCUAAGGCGAGGCCGAAAGGCGUAGUCGAUGGGAAACGGGUUAAUAUUCCCGUACUUGGUGUUACUGCGAAGGGGGGACGGAGAAGGCUAUGUUGGCCGGGCGACGGUUGUCCCGGUUUAAGCGUGUAGGUGUGUGUUCCAGGUAAAUCCGGUUCACUUUAACACUGAGGCGUGACGACGAGGCACUACGGUGCUGAAGCAACAAAUGCCCUGCUUCCAGGAAAAGCCUCUAAGCAUCAGGUAACAUCAAAUCGUACCCCAAACCGACACAGGUGGUCAGGUAGAGAAUACCAAGGCGCUUGAGAGAACUCGGGUGAAGGAACUAGGCAAAAUGGUGCCGUAACUUCGGGAGAAGGCACGCUGACACGUAGGUGAAGUGAUUUACUCAUGGAGCUGAAGUCAGUCGAAGAUACCAGCUGGCUGCAACUGUUUAUUAAAAACACAGCACUGUGCAAACACGAAAGUGGACGUAUACGGUGUGACGCCUGCCCGGUGCCGGAAGGUUAAUUGAUGGGGUCAGCGCAAGCGAAGCUCCUGAUCGAAGCCCCGGUAAACGGCGGCCGUAACUAUAACGGUCCUAAGGUAGCGAAAUUCCUUGUCGGGUAAGUUCCGACCUGCACGAAUGGCGUAAUGAUGGCCAGGCUGUCUCCACCCGAGACUCAGUGAAAUUGAACUCGCUGUGAAGAUGCAGUGUACCCGCGGCAAGACGGAAAGACCCCGUGAACCUUUACUAUAGCUUGACACUGAACAUUGAGCCUUGAUGUGUAGGAUAGGUGGGAGGCUUUGAAGUGUGGACGCCAGUCUGCAUGGAGCCGACCUUGAAAUACCACCCUUUAAUGUUUGAUGUUCUAACGUGGACCCGUUACCCGGGUUGCGGACAGUGUCUGGUGGGUAGUUUGACUGGGGCGGUCUCCUCCUAAAGAGUAACGGAGGAGCACGAAGGUUGGCUAAUCCUGGUCGGACAUCAGGAGGUUAGUGCAAUGGCAUAAGCCAGCUUGACUGCGAGCGUGACGGCGCGAGCAGGUGCGAAAGCAGGUCAUAGUGAUCCGGUGGUUCUGAAUGGAAGGGCCAUCGCUCAACGGAUAAAAGGUACUCCGGGGAUAACAGGCUGAUACCGCCCAAGAGUUCAUAUCGACGGCGGUGUUUGGCACCUCGAUGUCGGCUCAUCACAUCCUGGGGCUGAAGUAGGUCCCAAGGGUAUGGCUGUUCGCCAUUUAAAGUGGUACGCGAGCUGGGUUUAGAACGUCGUGAGACAGUUCGGUCCCUAUCUGCCGUGGGCGCUGGAGAACUGAGGGGGGCUGCUCCUAGUACGAGAGGACCGGAGUGGACGCAUCACUGGUGUUCGGGUUGUCAUGCCAAUGGCACUGCCCGGUAGCUAAAUGCGGAAGAGAUAAGUGCUGAAAGCAUCUAAGCACGAAACUUGCCCCGA